CGCGUAGGCGGUUUGGUCAGUCAGAUGUGAAAGCCCCGGGCUCAACCUGGGAACUGCAUUUGAUACUGCUGAACUAGAGUGUGGUAGAGGGAAGUGGAAUUCCGGGUGUAGCGGUGAAAUGCGUAGAGAUCCGGAGGAACAUCAGUGGCGAAGGCGGCUUCCUGGACCAACACUGACGCUGAGGUGCGAAAGCGUGGGUAGCAAACA
This 207-nucleotide ribosomal RNA is filed under the name uncultured bacterium. RNAcentral's name for it is "partial 16S ribosomal RNA". It matches the Rfam family "Bacterial small subunit ribosomal RNA", at positions 568 to 774 of the family's 1533-position model. The record is from RNAcentral.